UAGAGGUCACCGUGACCCAAAACUUCCUGCGUUCUCAGGCCUGGCAACGCCUGCCAAAGCUAGCCAUGGUGGGGGUAGGGGAGCGCCGCUUGUGGGGAGCUGACCAAGUGUGGUGUCGGCCGCCCUGCCUGCCAACAGACAGCAACACUGGUUUUCCACUGCCGGCCAUUCAUUGGACUUGGACAGCUUUGUUCCUUCUCUGGGACCAAGUCAACAAGCUGGGACCAGAGGAGCUGCGGCUGUAGCACGCAGGGACCGAACAAAAGAGCAAAUAUACAGAUAUCCCUGGAAGCCAGAGUUCUUGGAAGGAAGAAAUACACAUACAGAAUGGGAGAAGGCAAGGAAAAACCCUGUAAGGUUGGGAUGCAUUCAGAGAAAUAGAAACUUCUGAUUCCAUAUAGAGGCCUUCCUUCAUCCCCUCAACCCUCAGCUUUGUGGCCUCUAUCUUGGACUGUCAAAGGCCAGUUUAAACAAUGGUCACACAGAGAUUCACACUUCUCGCAAGCCCCAACUCAAUCUCCUGCCAUGUUUUUCAGGAAAGCGUUAACCCAGUUGUCCUGAGUUGCUCCAACUUUGCAGUUCUCAAGAAAGCCCUAUUCUGUGGUGAGGCCUUAAACAGUUCUUGGGAAUUGAGAUCUUGGAAUGUUCUAACUUCUAGGAAUGCUUUAAACACUUGGGACCUUGAGCCAUAUUAUGCCAGGCUUUCUAAAUAGUUUGUAUGAGGAAUGUGAUUUAUGAACAAACUCAUUUCCUUUGGGGACCUGGAUCUUCAGCAACUGUAGUCAGUCCUACGGAUACUAUAUCCCUAUGUAACCAACCCACAAUGAAAAUUGUGAACUUAUAGGCUUAGACAAGUCUCUGUAAUAGACAAAACUUUACAUGCACCUUCACAAUUUAUUCUUGGAAGAAUUAAGUGCAUCUUAUGUGUAUUAAGUGUAUUUUCUAGUGACUCCACUAGAAGAAUAUUCUUAGAAGCUUGUGCCUGAUUUUCUCCAAACGUUACCCAUACACCUUUUCUCUUCACUGAUUUUUCUUGGGACCCUUUACUAUAAUAAACCACAAUCAUGAGUAUAAUGACUUCUAAGUCCUAAAAGCUCUUCUAAUAAAAUCACCAAAACAGGAGUGGUCUUGGGGACCUCCAAAACACUUUGCUUCUAGAGUAAGUUUUUACUGCUAUAAAUUUCCCUCUCAGGACUGCUUUAGAUGCAUCCCAUAUGUUUUGACACAUUAUUGUUUCAAUUUAAUUUGGUUUUGUAUAUGUAUUAAAUGUCCUUUGAGAUUUCCUUUUUGACCAAUAAAGUAUUUAGAAGUAUG
Molecule: long non-coding RNA, 1314 nt
Filed under: Homo sapiens (human)
Lineage: Eukaryota; Metazoa; Chordata; Mammalia; Primates; Hominidae
Description: HSALNT0066124
Source: RNAcentral